AAGGAGUUAGUUAAUAAAUAACACUGGUAUGUCAAGCCAAAAUAACUGAUUCAUAGUACUCCUUU
This 65-nucleotide transfer RNA is filed under the name Kalotermitidae sp. A SH-2022a. RNAcentral describes it as "tRNA-Asp". The record is from RNAcentral. Lineage: Eukaryota; Metazoa; Arthropoda; Insecta; Blattodea; Kalotermitidae.